Molecule: ribosomal RNA, 740 nt
Filed under: Acidobacteria bacterium IP-20G
Lineage: Bacteria; Pseudomonadati; Acidobacteriota
Description: bacterial SSU rRNA
Rfam family: Bacterial small subunit ribosomal RNA
Source: RNAcentral
ACGGGUGAGUAACACGUGACUAACCUACCCUGGAGUGGGGGAUAACUGAGGGAAACCUUAGCUAAUACCGCAUAACACCUACGGGUCAAAGGAGCAAUUCGCUUCAGGAGGGGGUCGCGGCCGAUUAGUUAGUUGGCGGGGUAAUGGCCCACCAAGACGAUGAUCGGUAUCCGGCCUGAGAGGGCGCACGGACACACUGGAACUGAAACACGGUCCAGACUCCUACGGGAGGCAGCAGUGGGGAAUUUUGCGCAAUGGGGGAAACCCUGACGCAGCAACGCCGCGUGGAGGAUGAAGUACUUCGGUACGUAAACUCCUUUCGAUCGGGACGAUAAUGACGGUACCGAGAGAAGAAGCCCCGGCUAACUUCGUGCCAGCAGCCGCGGUAAUACGAGGGGGGCGAGCGUUGUUCGGAAUUAUUGGGCGUAAAGGGUGCGUAGGCGGUUUGGCAAGUUUCGUGUGAAAUCUCCGGGCUCAACUCGGAGCCUGCACGAAAAACUGCCGGGCUUGAGUAUGGGAGAGGUGAGUGGAAUUCCUGGUGUAGCGGUGAAAUGCGUAGAUAUCAGGAGGAACACCUGUGGCGAAAGCGGCUCACUGGACCAUAACUGACGCUGAAGCACGAAAGCUAGGGGAGCAAACAGGAUUAGAUACCCUGGUAGUCCUAGCCCUAAACGAUGACUGCUUGGUGUGACGGGUACCCAAUCCCGCCGUGCCGUAGCUAACGCGUUAAGCAGUCCGCC